RNAcentral lists this ribosomal RNA (253 nucleotides) under uncultured bacterium. RNAcentral describes it as "partial 16S ribosomal RNA". It matches the Rfam family "Bacterial small subunit ribosomal RNA", at positions 524 to 776 of the family's 1533-position model. The record is from RNAcentral.
UACGUAGGGGGCUAGCGUUGUCCGGAAUCAUUGGGCGUAAAGCGCGUGUAGGCGGUCCGGUAAGUCCGCUGUGAAAGUCGGGGGCUCAACCCUCGAAUGCCGGUGGAUACUGUCGGGCUAGAGUGCGGAAGAGGCGAGUGGAAUUCCUGGUGUAGCGGUGAAAUGCGCAGAUAUCAGGAGGAACACCAAUUGCGAAGGCAGCUCGCUGGGACGUAACUGACGCUGAGACGCGAAAGCGUGGGGAGCAAACGGG